CGUUUUGUAUUAGUGUUUGGGUGCCCUCAUCUGGCGUCUCCAUCCUCUCUCUCCUCCUCUCCGAUCCUUCGUCUUCUCCCUUCAUAUGAGAGACAAUAGCAAUAACCACAUUAUCUCAUAAAUCCCUCCAUUAAUUGACCACCCAUGAUCUAUAUUUAAUGUGAUUCUUGGGACUGCAAAGCGGUGGAAAUUAUUCUAUAAAAAUAUAUGAGCAAUAAGUUAUGGCUAAAGCUUUCUUCUUCCUCUCCAAUUUACAAAGCGACUGCUCUUCCUCCACCAUCCAUGUUUGCCUGCUCCGUUUCUGGGAAGAGAGGAAUAUAUGCCGUGAUGGAGAACUCAUGGGGUUCGACAUACUCCUUGAUUCGCAGGUCAUUUGGAAUAACCCUAAUGACACUAAACCAUCUUCUCAAUCCGUCAAAACAACACUGUAAGCUUAUUUUCUGAGAUAUAGCUCAAGCUUCAAUCUUCCUCUCCUCUCCGAUUUGCAGAACGGACGCUCCUCCUCCGCCGUUCAAGUGCAGUUGAUCGUUUAUUGGAGGCCAUGAACAUCAUCGUUUAUUGUAUUUCCUCCACCGGCUAAGAGCAGAACCGCCUCUCUUUUCUCCGGGUCGGCUUCUUAUUUAAGAGGAAGCAUAUCAGCGAUUGAAUGAGAGAAUAAAAACAGAGAGAUGAUGGGUAAUACGCGUACGAGCUACGCCACAGUUGAAGAUCUGACGGAAGUAUACAUGUCAUAGCUAGAGCUUCAGCCACUAAUGGCGGCGGAAGGAAAUCACUUAGAGGCGGAGGAGGGAGGACAUUACUUAGCAGUGUUGGUGGUCGGAGUUGGUUUAUCUAACAGGCGCCUGCAAUUCCCUGUCAACUUCUCCAUGACACCUAGCAGUUUCUGUUUAUCAACAACAUAAGAAAAGACAAGGCAAGCCUUUACUCCAAAACAAAUAACCUUUACACCAGAGCAAAUAAACGGAAGUUGUUAUGUUAUUAGCCUUUCCAACAAGACUGUUUUUGAUGGUUUGAGGAACAGCGUAUGAUGGGAGGAAGUUCUCUUACAAGGCUAAGCACGAUGUCAAAUAUGCUGCUCGGAUUGCAGCUGUUGAUCUGAAAGUAGUUUACCCGAAUGUCAGCAGUUGCUGAACUGAAAGUAGCUUACCCUAAUGUCAUGGAGGAUUUUCAGGUUUGCUUUUGUUUUAUACAGUUGGUUUGGAUAAUGUUUACGUAAGUGUUUGGUCACCUUAGAUCCGGUUGGUUUUGGUUGGACAAGAAAUUAUCUCAAGUUGUGUGUUUGUGUGGAUAUAUAUGGUUUGGUUCUUGAUUGUGUUUGUAUUGUGCAUGCUCUGAAAGCUUCAACACAGAUAUGGUUCCUAUCAAGCGCUGAUUCACAAGAGAAUAUUGUGAACCCUAACAACUUCAAACCUCAGGUCGAGAUUGAUGACGAGUUUAAGUUUCUGCUCCACGACAUAGACAUCCCGAGCGACCUGCUUGACGUGUAGAUUGAGCUUCUCAAGAUUGGUGUGGAGCCAGUUAUGAACACUGCGCAGAGAGCUGCUUCGGAGAUUGAAAGUGUACAGAAUAAACCAAUACAUAAGAAGAAGAAACAAGAGAUCAGCAAGAGCACAAAACUCACCAACACCCAUCUUCCCGAGCUCUUUCAUAUCCUUAAUGGCAGCACUUCAUGUAUCAAAUUUUGGGUCAGAUCUAUAAGUGAAGAAAUUUAUUUGUGCACUCAUCAUUGCCACACAUAUAGGAUCCAGUCUGAAGAGGAUAUCCUCGAUAAGAUACAAGGUUAAGUUAUUCAUGAUCAAAAGAUGAAUCAAUGUACUACCGAAAUUACAACUUCUGCUUUUCUGUGUUAAUGUGAAUAUCUUUGAUUCA
Molecule: long non-coding RNA, 1869 nt
Organism: Raphanus sativus (radish)
Lineage: Eukaryota; Viridiplantae; Streptophyta; Magnoliopsida; Brassicales; Brassicaceae
Exons: 4
Source: RefSeq, a predicted model, not a curated record